UACGAAGGGGGCUAGCGUUGCUCGGAAUCACUGGGCGUAAAGCGCACGUAGGCGGAUUGUUAAGUCAGGGGUGAAAUCCUGGAGCUCAACUCCAGAACUGCCUUUGAUACUGGCGAUCUCGAGUCCGGGAGAGGUGAGUGGAACUGCGAGUGUAGAGGUGAAAUUCGUAGAUAUUCGCAAGAACACCAGUGGCGAAGGCGGCUCACUGGCCCGGUACUGACACUGAGGAGCGAAAGCCAGGGGAGCAAACGGG
RNAcentral lists this ribosomal RNA (253 nucleotides) under uncultured bacterium. RNAcentral's name for it is "partial 16S ribosomal RNA". It matches the Rfam family "Bacterial small subunit ribosomal RNA", at positions 524 to 776 of the family's 1533-position model. The record is from RNAcentral.